This 506-nucleotide ribosomal RNA is filed under the name uncultured bacterium. RNAcentral describes it as "bacterial SSU rRNA". It matches the Rfam family "Bacterial small subunit ribosomal RNA", at positions 791 to 1304 of the family's 1533-position model. The record is from RNAcentral.
UAGUCCACGCUGUAAACGAUGAUCACUCGUUGUUGGCGAUACACAGUCAGCGACUAAGCGAAAGCAUUAAGUGAUCCACCUGGGGAGUACGAUCGCAAGAUUGAAACUCAAAGGAAUUGACGGGGGCCCGCACAAGCGGUGGAACAUGUGGUUUAAUUCGAUGAUACGCGAGGAACCUUACCUGGGCUUAAAUGCAGACCGACGUUCGCCGAAAGGUGAAUUUCUUCGGACGUUUUGCAAGGUGCUGCAUGGUUGUCGUCAGCUCGUGCCGUGAGGUGUCGGGUUAAGUCCCAUAACGAGCGCAACCCUUAUUGUUAGUUACCAUCGAGUAAUGUCGGGGACUCUAACGAAACUGCCGGUGUAAACCGUGAGGAAGGUGGGGAUGACGUCAAAUCAGCACGGCCCUUAUGUCCAGGGCUACACACGUGUUACAAUGGCCAGUACAAAGGGCAGCUACCUGGUGACAGGAUGCAAAUCUCUAAAACUGGUCUUAGUUCGAUCGGAGU